AGCAUGAAAUCGACAGCCGCGGUAAACCAAUUCUUCGGAGACUGUUUUCUUCAUGCCCUGCGGCUACUCGGAGAUGAAAGAAGGCAAGUACUCAAACUGUUCUGAACUUCUGGAAAAAAAGUUUAAGAACAGGAGAUGACAGAAUACUACCGCCAUGCUCAAUUAUGGAUGAUGGCCUUUUAUCUUCCCAUCACUAAUUAGAGGAGCUACUCCGCUUUCAAGUUCGUCUUUACAUACCAGGCUUCCCUUCUGAAAUAUCCAGCACUGCUGGUCACCAGUACAUGUGCUCUGGGAAACUCUGAGACAAUACUAGAGAAGAGACGAGUCACGACUCCAGCAGAUCACCCACCAUGUUCUCAUUAGAGGAAGCCUCUGCCUCCCACACACAGG
Molecule: non-coding RNA, 390 nt
Organism: Pimephales promelas (fathead minnow)
Lineage: Eukaryota; Metazoa; Chordata; Actinopteri; Cypriniformes; Leuciscidae
Source: RefSeq, a predicted model, not a curated record